RNAcentral lists this transfer RNA (75 nucleotides) under Pseudonocardia sp. HH130630-07. Its description in RNAcentral is "tRNA-Thr". It matches the Rfam family "tRNA". Rfam says of the family: Transfer RNA (tRNA) molecules are approximately 80 nucleotides in length. Their secondary structure includes four short double-helical elements and three loops (D, anti-codon, and T loops). Lineage: Bacteria; Bacillati; Actinomycetota; Actinomycetes; Pseudonocardiales; Pseudonocardiaceae. The record is from RNAcentral.
GCCGGUGUAGCUCAGUGGUAGAGCAACUGUCUUGUAAACAGUAGGUCGUCGGUUCGAUCCCGACCACCGGCUCCA